UACGUAGGGGGCAAGCGUUGUCCGGAUUUAUUGGGCGUAAAGCGCUCGCAGGCGGCUCGAUGCGUCGUGCGUGAAGCACCCCGGCUCAACUGGGGAGGGUCGUGCGAUACGGUCGGGCUGGAGGCCAGUAGGGGGAUGCGGAAUUCCGGGUGUAGUGGUGGAAUGCGUAGAGAUCCGGAGGAACACCAGCGGCGAAGGCGGCUAUCUGGACGGUUUCUGGACGCUAGGCGACGCAAAGGCCAGGGGAGCAAGCGGG
This 256-nucleotide ribosomal RNA is filed under the name uncultured bacterium. Its description in RNAcentral is "partial 16S ribosomal RNA". It matches the Rfam family "Bacterial small subunit ribosomal RNA", at positions 524 to 776 of the family's 1533-position model. The record is from RNAcentral.